This 431-nucleotide long non-coding RNA is filed under the name Salvia miltiorrhiza (redroot sage). Its description in RNAcentral is "long non-coding RNA (SMIL_LNC002785)". The record is from RNAcentral. Lineage: Eukaryota; Viridiplantae; Streptophyta; Magnoliopsida; Lamiales; Lamiaceae.
AUGAAAACUGUUGACAAAAAAGUUAAGAGAAUUGGUAGUAGCUAGAAAAUGUCUAAUAUUGACACAGAAUUUAUAUGUUAGUCUCAUUAGUGUUUCACCUCAUGCCUCCAAUUAUCUAGAUUCAGCUCUCAUGAAGAAUAUUAGUGCAUGUUGGAGAAAUAUAUUGAUGGGCAAAGGUGCAGAUUAGUCCCUGAACUCGACCCCCCUAGAGCGUGUUGACCUCCCUGAACUUUCGAGAAAAAGGUGCAACUAAGCCCACGCACCAAACGGCGCCUAAACGCCGUUAUCUUUAAAACUUAAAAAAAACUCAUGCAUCCUCUCACACUCACAGUCUGCCUUCUCCUUCUUUUGCUGGUGACGGAGACCGCCGCCGGCCACCCUCUCGGCUCCACUUUUCUCUCAACCUCGCAAAGACGCAAGGUCCGCCGCCC